AUACCCUGUUUGGAGAUUUUAUUGUAUUUUAACCAUUUACAUGUGUUUAAAGUGAUAAUAGAUGAAUUGUUAAGUUUACAAAAAUAUCAGUUUUAUAGAUCUAGUAUUUAUUUAUAACCCCCGAUUUGAAACGACAACUAUCUGUUGAUUUGGAGCAAUCGCCGUCCGUAUGUUGAUUACUUUUGGGGUACGCAUGUAAUGAUCAUACUUGUGGUGUCAAAUAGCAAAGUUUCACUUUAGUUGAAGCUAAUCGAUCAAACAUUUAUCUUAGUACAUCUGUGGUAGAUGUAACUGAGGAAAAUAUUUAAAAUAGGUUAGAGGAAGAAGGCUAUUGACGAUGGGGUCAAAAACAAUAAUCAUAAACCUAGUCACACUUCUGUAAGGAUUGAGCAUGUCACACAGCGUUCUCAAUAUACAACAAUACCUUUGUAUCCGGUGUUUAUGAGCAGAAUCAGAAACUGAUACACGAUAGAGUCCAAAUUUUGUUGUAAAAGUAUAAAACUCAAAAGGAGCAAAAGUGCUUUCUUCCAUGUUGUAGGAUUUCUUGAAUAGAUUGAAAAAGUUUAUGGAAAUAAUGAUUGAUAUAUCAUUAUUGUUUUUCAUCUCAUCUUCUCUGACAAUGGCGUCAAAUUGCGAUAAACCGCUUGAUUUUUAUCUUAAUGGCCGGAAGAAGAUAGUAGGUUUUGAAAAUAUAAUCGAAAAAAUAAAAGAGGCACUUCAAAUAACAAAUUUGACAGAAGUUGAAAAUCCGUUGAUCAGUGAUUUCUUCUCAAAUGAAAAUACUUUUGUGGAAUUUAAAGUUGCAAGAAAAGGACCACUGAAGAUAUGUGUUGUUUCACUGAAUAAUAGAAAAUGCUUUGAAAUAAGAUGUGACUGUAAGGACGUCUCCAGACAACAUGGACAUGGUAGUCUACAAAUAGUUAACGUUAGACUACUCUGUGAAGCCAAAACACACAAUGAUUCACUUCA
Molecule: long non-coding RNA, 969 nt
Organism: Saccostrea cuccullata (small rock oyster)
Lineage: Eukaryota; Metazoa; Mollusca; Bivalvia; Ostreida; Ostreidae
Exons: 5
Source: RefSeq, a predicted model, not a curated record